GGCUGGUCUGAGUGCAGUGGUGUUUACUAAUUGAUCACAGACAGUUACAGAUUUCUUUGUUCCUUCUCCACUCCUACUGCUUCACUUUAGCCUAAA
Molecule: Y RNA, 96 nt
Filed under: Macaca nemestrina (pig-tailed macaque)
Lineage: Eukaryota; Metazoa; Chordata; Mammalia; Primates; Cercopithecidae
Description: Y RNA (ENSMNEG00000025599.1)
Rfam family: Y RNA
About the family: Y RNAs are components of the Ro ribonucleoprotein particle (Ro RNP), in association with Ro60 and La proteins. The Y RNAs and Ro60 and La proteins are well conserved, but the function of the Ro RNP is not known.
Source: Rfam by way of RNAcentral